Molecule: long non-coding RNA, 3289 nt
Filed under: Podarcis lilfordi (Lilford's wall lizard)
Lineage: Eukaryota; Metazoa; Chordata; Lepidosauria; Squamata; Lacertidae
Source: RNAcentral
GCAACAAACUGUUGCCCCCUGGCAACACAUUUAAAAGGUCAUUGGAUGUCAAAUCAGCCCAAGGCCUGGUUGAAGAGGAACGUUUUUGCCUGGCGCCUAAAAAUGUAUAAUGGAGGCACCAGCCGAACCUCCCCGGGGAGAGCAUUCCACAGAUGGAGAGCCGCUACAGACAAUCCCAGCACUUGGCUGUUAGGUGAGGCUGACUGACCCAUGUCACAAUGAGGUUGUGAGGAUAACAGUAAAGAAGAGGAGGAGGGCCAGUGCUAUUUUUUUUCUAGAAGAAGAGGUGCCAGAACUCACCAUGUCCUCUUAUAACGGCAAUGAUGCCCACCUGAGAGGUGCUGGAACUGAAUUCCAGUGAGAUCUGGCUGAAAGGAAUCCCUGAAGAAAAUCCAUGUACGUCACCUUGAGUUCUGUGGAGGAAAGGUGGGAUAGAAAUGCUGUAAGCAAACAAAAUUAGGAUUGCUAUCUGCUUAUGGGCUGCAUUUUAUAGUCGUCAUGACAAUCGGCAGUGAAUUCCACACCCACCGUCUGUAGUAGCCUCUUUCAGGGAUGGUAGCAAGGGUGUAGCGGGGUAGCUGGAGCCAUUCUUAGCCCUUCCCUUGGAAACUGAUUGUCAGGUGCUGGUGUGGUUGAUCGAGAGCAAACCGGCAAGACUCCGACCUGUCUUUUCCAGGCUUUAUUAUUAGUGCAAAUUAUUUACAGGGAUGCGGGUGGUGCUAUGGUCUAAACCACUGAGCCUAGGGCUUGCUGAUCAGAAGGUCGGCAGUUCGAAUCCCCGCGACGGGGUGAGCUCCCGUUGCUCGGUCCCUGCUCCUGCCCACCUAGCAGUUCGAAAGCACAAAGUGCAAGUAGAUAAAUAGGUACCGCUCCGGUGGGAAGGUAAAUGGCAUUUCUGUGCGCUGCUCUGGUUCGCCAGAAGUGGCUUAGUCAUGCUAGCCACAUGACCCGGAAGCUGUACGCCGGCUCCCUCGGCCAAUAAAGCGAGAUGAGCGCCACAACCCCAGAGUCGUCUGCGACUGGACCUAACGGUCAGGGGUCCCUUUACCUUUAUUUACAGUGAAAAGCAUUGCAAGUUCAUGUCUGGCUCACUCGCUAGCAGAAUCUGGGAGUGGGCGGUCCUUAUACCUUCCCCAGCAUAAUAGUCGGGUGACCCCCAACCUUCUCCUCCCUUCCCUGCGCCUAAACCUACUGCACAGAAUGGGCGCUGGUAAAGGGGUACUGUAUUUUUCGCUCUAUAAGAUGCACCAGACCACAAGACGCACCUAGUUUUUGGAGGAGGAAAACAAGAAAAAAAAUGUUCUGAAUCUCAGAAGCCAGAACAGCAAGAGGGAUCGCUGCGCAGUGAAAGCAGCAAUCCCUCUUGCUAUUCUGGCUUCUGGGAUAGCUGCGCAGCCUGCAUUCGCUCCAUAAGACGCACACACAUUUCCCCUUACUUUUUAGGAGGGAAAAAGUGAGUCUUAUAGAGCAAAAAAUACGGUAGUUCCCUCCCCUCCGGUUUUCUCAGGCUCGGUGUUGAGGCUCUCCCUAGCAUCCCCUGCUCCCACCACUUCCUCUCCACUGGAGGUGGGGCUUCCCUCCUCGCCAGAGGAGGAACUGCUUCACAAGAUUUUCGGAGGUUCCCUAUAACACAACUGCCCUUCCACCUCUUGUCUCUGAGCUGAUGGCAGUUCCCUGACACUGAUCCUCCACUUCUGUUCAUCUCCCAAGGCCAUUUUGACCUAGCCAAACUUAUUUUUUGUAUCUGGAGAAAAUGAGUGGAAAGGAAGAAUUGCUUAUAGGCUAUAGUAGCGUUAUGAGGCAAACAAAGCUUUGCAGUCCCAUGUCGGCCUCCUUACAGGUCACUGUGCCAAAACAGGCCCUUUUCACAAUAGUUGCUAUGUUACAGCAAUGGGUCCCAAACGUUAACAUCAUAUCUGCACUUCCCAGAAGCAACUGGAGAUAAUUACUGUUCCGCCAGGCAUUCCCAGCUGGAUGAAUCCAUCUUUGCCACGAGUAUGUUCUGUUUUAAAUGUAACUGAUGGCUUUUUGUAUGUGUUAACUCUUUAUUAUAGGAGGAGAUUAAAUAAAUAUAUGAACAACAACAAAAUAAAUAGGAAUCCCCCCCCCAUGAGCAACAGAAGGAAUGAAUUUAUGAGAAAAGAGAGGGAUAUAUACAUAUAUAUUUGUUGUUGUUGUUGUUUAGUCGUUUAGUCGUGUCCGACUCUUCGUGACCCCAUGGACCAGAGCACGCCAGGCACUCCUGUCUUCCACUACCUCCCGCAGUUUGGUCAAAUUCAUGCUGGUAGCUUCGAGAACACUGUCCAACCAUCUCGCCCUCUGUCGUCCCCUUCUCCUUGUGCCCUCCAUCUUUCCCAACAUCAGGGUCUUUUCCAGGGAGUCUUCUCUUCUCAUGAGGUGGCCAAAGUAUUGGAGUCUCAGCUUCACAAUCUGUCCUUCCAGUGAGCACUCAGGGCUGAUUUCCUUCAGAAUGGAGAGGUUUGAUCUUCUUGCAGUCCAUGGGACUCUCAAGAGUCUCCUCCAGCACCAUAAUUCAAAAGCAUCAAUUCUUCGGCGAUCAGCCUUCUUUAUGGUCCAGCUCUCACUUCUCACUUCCACACAUCACUAAUCUCUCUCCUGCCCCACUAAAUAUAAUGCACUUUGUAUGUUAUUUUCAUGAAUAUACACAUUUUUAUGCACACAUUACUCUCGUACAUGUAUUUUUAUGCACACUCAUUGACUAGAGAACUACACUGCAAGAUUUGUGAAAAUUGCAGAUUUUUAAGAAUGGCUAUGUGUCAGUUCUCAUUUUGUUUCAGAUUAGGUAAAUUCACCUUUAAGUGUUCUGCCACAGAUUCAUUCUCUCUCUCUCUCUCUCUCUCUCUCUCUCUCCCUCUCCCUGAAUGAGGGAGGUUUUAUUUCCACAGAUUUAUAGGUUUAGCUGGACAUUGCAAGCCAGCUGUGCCAUACUGUGUGCAUCAGAUUAAAAAGCUAUGGCCUGACACAGGAAAGACUCCCCCUGCUGCUGCCACCAGCAACGUUCGGUGUAAACCAGUUUCCUUCCUCUAAAGUCACAGGAGACUCACCAUGUUUCAAAGAGAUGUGUGAACACUAAUCUCCUCUUUCCCCUCCUCAGAGCAUCUCUCCUCUCCACUUUUUCCGGCUAAAGCUGUGAACAAGAAAUGACAGGGGAAGUUAAUGUUUUUUUUCUGCCACUUGUGGGUGAAUCUGAGAAACCUACACGUCUUGCCAGAGUAGUUACCGCUGAAGAAAAAAAGAAGGCAUGGAGAUCAUCACUUCAGAGACACAG